UAUCUAGCUUCAAUACAGGUUGGGAGGCGCGAGUAAUGUGCAGUCCUUGUACUUUGGUUUAAUAGCGGGUUAUUUGAGGGCUGCGUAUCCUGAGCGGUGAAUUGAUCCUCGUGAACUCAUCUAUCCGCACUUGGAUCGUCCCUCUCUUUUCGUCCUGGCAAUUAUCACUGCAGUUUACUUUUUCCUCCGCUGCGCACCGAGUGACUAACAUUGGCUUACAAUCAUUUAAAGGGACUUCUGCUGCUGCCAUCUGGUUUCUGGGGUAGUUUGAACUGACCUGCCCUGGUCUACUUUGGGGUGCACGAUCGUCUAUUUCUUGGGACUGGCCUAAGAACGACGUGGCCCUCUUUUUUUGAGUCCUGUUUCCAUCAAACUUUUUAUAAAGGAGCUGGGGGUCCCACGGGUGAAAGACCUUUUGGUGGUGGUGCUAUUCCAACGUGUGCUGUGCGACAUUCUUGAAGUGUACGAGUGUGUGCUCUGAGUUCACGGUGAGGUGUGUGUGUGGAAGUGUGCGGUUGGAUAACUAACCCUGGUGAUCGCCUCGGUGGAUAUCCCCAGCCCUGUAUUUAAUUGUGAUAUUUUGUUUUGUCUAUUUAGAAGUUGCGUAAAGUGGUUGUUUAUUAUUUUUUCAUUUAAUCAUCGUUAUUUGUGUACUUGCCUGUCACUGGACCUUCUUAACAGUGAAGACAUCUUUUCUUUUCUUUUUGUUGCUUUUGUAAUGUUGGUUUGAGCUGUUAGUAAGGGCUCUUUAGGACUGAGCAUAUUUUAAGUGAGUUUUUAUUUUAAUUGCAAGUAUUCAAUGAAUGCUGUUUUUUUUUAUUAUGAUGCCCACGUUUCUUGCCUAUACUUAUUUAUAAGAGAAUCGAACUUGUGUGAUCUGAUAACAAACACUGGGGUUUACUUCUAUUUCCUGGGUUUAACCCUCCCAGGUGGCGUAGUCGAAUUGGUUACAAAUAGAUAAACUUGGGUUUGUGUGUGAUAAGCUGUACGGCCCUCACUCAUACCUCCUAACACACCAUACCGCUCCCGCCACACAAUGUUUACUGGGUAAGUCAGUGUCUUCCUUCAAAAGACAUUUAACUGGAAGAAACCCAAAGAAAACAAUGAUUGUAGAAGUUAAACAUCUAGAGCAGAUGUAUUCAACUAAAAUUGAAAGAGGUCCAGUAAGAGAAUUUCUUGAAGCAAUGGUCUGGAAGAUCAUAAUGUCUAACUAGUUAGUGUGAUAUAUAUUUAAGUAGCCUAGUAGUUGUAUCAACACCUGACUGUCAAAUCAAAUAAGUUCAGUACACUUCAAAAACCUUUUGACAAUAUUUAU
Molecule: long non-coding RNA, 1315 nt
Organism: Tachysurus fulvidraco (yellow catfish)
Lineage: Eukaryota; Metazoa; Chordata; Actinopteri; Siluriformes; Bagridae
Exons: 3
Source: RefSeq, a predicted model, not a curated record